This 253-nucleotide ribosomal RNA is filed under the name uncultured bacterium. RNAcentral describes it as "partial 16S ribosomal RNA". It matches the Rfam family "Bacterial small subunit ribosomal RNA", at positions 524 to 776 of the family's 1533-position model. The record is from RNAcentral.
GACGAACCGUGCGAACGUUAUUCGGAAUCACUGGGCUUAAAGGGUGCGUAGGCUGCGAGGAGGGUGGGGUGUGAAAUCCCUCGGCUUAACCGAGGAAUUGCGCUCCAAACCACCUUGCUGGAGUGAGACAGAGGUGAGCGGAACUAAUGGUGGAGCGGUGAAAUGCGUUGAUAUCAUUAGGAACACCAGAGGCGAAGGCGGCUCACUGGGUCUCAACUGACGCUGAUGCACGAAAGCUAGGGUAGCGAACGGG